This 299-nucleotide long non-coding RNA is filed under the name Meriones unguiculatus (Mongolian gerbil). RNAcentral describes it as "lncRNA (ENSMUGG00000016894.1)". The record is from RNAcentral. Lineage: Eukaryota; Metazoa; Chordata; Mammalia; Rodentia; Muridae.
GGGUGUCAGGAGUGGCGCUGUCCUGCAUCCGGCACCGUAGCGGGGUGGCUGCGAGGGGCGAGCGGACGCGCUGGUGCACCCUUCUGCACACUAGCUUCUUCGGGGCUCUGUUCCCUAAGUUGUCCGUCUGUUUGGCUAGGUGUAGUUGGCACAGGAAUGAGUGGGCCAUGGAAAGAAAAGGCGGGCAAGAUGGACCUGGAGCCCAGCAACAAGGAAGAAAACAGGCGACCUCCCAGAGCCUGGAGGGAUGCCAGACCCUUAGCAAGGACCCAGCAAACAUUUGAUGAAGAAAGGAUGGG